GACGAACGCUGGCGGCGUGCUUAACACAUGCAAGUCGAACGGAAAGGCCCUGCUUUUGUGGGGUGCUCGAGUGGCGAACGGGUGAGUAACACGUGAGUAACCUGCCCUUGACUUUGGGAUAACUUCAGGAAACUGGGGCUAAUACCGGAUAGUAGCUCCUGCUGCAUGGUGGGGGUUGGAAAGUUUCGGCGGUUGGGGAUGGACUCGCGGCUUAUCAGCCUGUUGGUGGGGUAGUGGCUUACCAAGGCUUUGACGGGUAGCCGGCCUGGGAGGGUGACCGGCCACAAUGGGACUGAGAUACGGACCAGACUCGUACGGGAGGCAGCAGUGGGGAAUAUUGCACAAUGGGCGGAAGCGUGAUGCAGAAACGCCGCGUGCGGGAUGACGGCCUUCGGGUUGUAAACCGCUUUCGCCUGUGACGAAGCGUGAGUGACGGUAAUGGGUAAAGAAGCACCGGCUAACUACGUG
This 468-nucleotide ribosomal RNA is filed under the name uncultured bacterium. Its description in RNAcentral is "partial 16S ribosomal RNA". It matches the Rfam family "Bacterial small subunit ribosomal RNA", at positions 28 to 507 of the family's 1533-position model. The record is from RNAcentral.